CCUACGGGUGGCAGCAGUGGGGAAUAUUGGGCAAUGGGCGCAAGCCUGACCCAGCCAAGCCGCGUGAGGGAGGAAGGUACAGAGUAUCGUAAACCUCUUUUGUCAGGGAACAAAGACUGGGACGCGUCCCCGGAUGAGUGUACCUGAAGAAAAAGCAUCGGCUAACUCCGUGCCAGCAGCCGCGGUAAUACGGAGGAUGCGAGCGUUAUCCGGAUUUAUUGGGUUUAAAGGGUGCGCAGGCGGUCUGUUAAGUCAGCGGUCAAAGCCCGGGGCUCAACCCCGGCCCGCCGUUGAAACUGGCAGUCUCGAGUUGGAGAGAAGUAUGCGGAAUGCGCGGUGUAGCGGUGAAAUGCAUAGAUAUCGCGCAGAACUCCGAUUGCGAAGGCAGCAUGCCGGCUCCACACUGACGCUGAGGCACGAAAGCGUGGGUAUCGAACAGGAUUAGAUACCCCAGUAGUC
RNAcentral lists this ribosomal RNA (459 nucleotides) under uncultured bacterium. Its description in RNAcentral is "partial 16S ribosomal RNA". It matches the Rfam family "Bacterial small subunit ribosomal RNA", at positions 338 to 795 of the family's 1533-position model. The record is from RNAcentral.